Molecule: RNA transcript, 1627 nt
Organism: Girardinichthys multiradiatus
Lineage: Eukaryota; Metazoa; Chordata; Actinopteri; Cyprinodontiformes; Goodeidae
Gene name: zinc finger BED domain-containing protein 4-like
Exons: 4
Source: RefSeq, a predicted model, not a curated record
GUUAGCUUCUCUUCAAAAGAUCCUUUAACAGUUACUGAGUAGUUAUAACUCGGCUUCGAUCCAAACUCUAGAGAUGGAACAUUUGAAGCAAAGCUUCGAGGAGUUUACAGAGUAAAAAGGUUCAAUGCUUGUGUUGUCUUGCGGUAAACCACGUGACCGAUGACAAACGAUGCCUCGCAUUUCCGUGAACACGUCACUGCUUCAUUUCGCGUGUGGAAUUUCAAAAUAAAAGCGCGAUGACACUUGUUGCUUCGUGGGUUGUUGUAGUGGUUUGGUCGCACGUCAGCAGAGAUAGGAGCAUCUGAGAAGAAUGGAGGCAACAAAAAAAGGAAAACUUCUCCCAUCUGGAAGUAAUUUGAAAUGUGUGCUAAAACAAGGUUCCAGAAAGCAGGUGUUGGAUGAUGCUGUGAUCAAUCUUAUUGUAAAAGAUUCACAGCCCUUUACUGUUGUGGAAGACGAGGCGUUCAGGGAACUUGUUCAUUUGCUGAAUCCCUCCUAUGUUCUCCCUACUAGAAAAGGCAUUAAAGAAGAUGGUGGAGGAAAAAUAUGAAAAAAGUAAGAAAAACAUUUGACCAGGUCCCUGUUCUCUGUGACCUUCGGAAAAACGGCAAACGAAUUGUAACAUAUUUUCACUCAACCACCAAAGGUAAAGAAAAGCUAGAAGUAGUACAGAUACAGAUAGGAAGACAGUCACAAAAACCUGUCACUAAUAUGGACACACGCUGGAAUAGCAUAACCUCACUAUCUUGUCAGGAGUAUCAAACAAUUGAGGAGUGCUUACCUGUAUUAUUCCCUUUUUACCAAACAACAUUAGAGCUCCCACAAGAGAGAAGGGUCUCAACCUCAAAGAUAACCCUUAAUGAACAUUCUGCACCAUGCAGUACUUGUAAAAUCAGUCAAUAUCACCAGUGUUGCUAAACUUCUGUUGGACAACCUUUUAAGACAUGUCAGAGAACAUGUGGCAAGUAUAGGAUCCCUGAGCACAAUGACAGUGGCCACAUUACUUGACCCCAGGUUUAAAACUCUUGGCUUUCUCAGCCGAAACAAGGUACAAGAGGCAGUACGGCGGCUAAAAUCUGAAUGUACGGCACUAAUAGCCAGCAGUGAAGCUUCACUUCCACAUCCAUCAGAUGCAGGAGAAAGCACCAACAACUCUAGUGAGCUGUGGUGUCUGCUAGAUGAAACAGUGGACCAGAAGAGACAAAGCUUCAAUGCCACAGCAGAUGCCAUACUAGAGGUGGAGCAAUACUUGGUAGAAGUUAACUUGAGGAGACAUCAGGACCCCCUGGAGUACUGGCAUAAACAAAAACAUGUGUAUCCCUACUUGUACCACAUGUCACAGAGGUUCCUAUGUUCACCAGCAUCCUCAGUGCCUUGCAAGAGUGUGUUUUCCAAGGCUGGGAGGUCAUCAGCCAACGAAGAAACUGCCUACAACCACAAACAGUGAAAUAAGUCUUGUUCUUGAAUAAAAAUAAUUAACACCCAAAUACCCAUCCACCAGUAAUUUCACAUUUAGUGGUUUGAUCAGCAAAGACACAUCAGUCUCACCCAGGAGAAACAGACUGAAUGCUAUUAAAAGAGUGACAUUCUGUGUGCAGCUAACUAUAAAAGAUCUGAAGCAGAAGUC